GUGACCUGGCUGUGGGUGAGCUCUGCUGCUGCUCCAGGACAGGGGGUGCUCACCCCACCCUGGCUUUGGGUCCCCCUGAUACUCCAUUUAUUGACAUGCUGGCCUUUAUUUGGUGCAGUGUUUUUAGGUUUCAUCAGAUGAACUUCAGCAUUACAGCAUGUGGGGCUUUGGGAUUGCUCUGUUUUUUUCUGAAGACCAAUUUGUGUAAGAAGCUUUGAGAUGUUGCUGCACAGACACGGCAUAUUAGAAUUGGAUGAGGAGCUUUUUCUCACUUUCCAGGCAUUUUGUAGCCUUUUUUAUCCAUAUAAUUCAGCCCCAGGCACAGCAUGAGAGCAGUUUUCACCUGUAGACUUGCUAGCUUUGCUUCUCCAGCUUUCAAUCCUUGCUUUUUCCUGUGGCCUGCUGCUCUGUUUGGCAGCUCUGGCUCAGCAGUCUAAGGGCAGUUCCAGUGGCCUGGGCAGCACAAAGGAGGCAAUACUUAGCUGGCAGUGGCAGGAAGACAUCUGCUAUAUUGUGCUCUCUUCAUUUUGCCAUCCAGGGUAGGAUUUAUCCCAAGUAGGAUUUACCCUGGACAAGCAGAUGUCUGGUGAGUUGAGAUCACCCUUAGAACAAAACUUGUUUUUCCCCACUGACCAUAGAGGAAGCAGUGGAAGGAAGAGCUUUGGCUGUCUUCCAGGAAUUUCCAUCUUCUCUAAUUUCAGACACUUGUCUCACAUCUAAUAACUCUUCCAGGUUGUUGUCAGUGCAUCAAACAACACAGGUGAUAUUCAUUUGUGCCUCUGGUAACAGGAUGUGAGCAAGAAGAAAUGCCUUUCCCUCAUCUUUGGAUGAGGUUUCUCCCUGGCUUUGCACUGCAGCAAAUGCUCUGCUGCUUCCAUCAUGUUUCUCCUCCACCCAAAUCUCAACACAUGAAUUUUUGAGUUAACAGAUCUUUCUCAACUUCAGUUUCAGAUAAAUAAGAAAGAAACAGAAUUUCAAAACACAAACCAAAGGAUUCAGACAAGCUUUUUCUCCCCCCUAUUCUCCUACAUACAUUGCAAAACUUCUCCAGCUAUAGAAAAGUUAGGGACAAAAGAGAAAUGAAAUUCUGCCUUCUGCCACUAACUUAUUGAAGCUGGCAAAGCUUUGAAAAUGGAAAAGCUGAGACAGAAGGAGGAGAAUGGGAAGGAGAAUAGGAAGAAAACACAGUUCCUACAGAAUUUUUAUUGCACUAAGAUAAAGAAGAAGAAAAUGCAGGAGGAAAAAUGUCAAAACUCAAAUUCUUCCUUUUUCAAAAGCAAGUGAAAGUGUCUUUUACUUUUAUUUUUCUGAAGCAAGUGCUUUUGCAAAAAAAGUUUGUAUUAGGAGAAAGGAAAAUCAAUAAAAUAAUUUUCUCUUUUUUUGCCUAGUUGUGACUGCUGUCACAUUAACAACCUACAAUGGCAGUAAUAUUUGUAUGCUGCUGCAGAUGAGAUAUCUCUAUUUUUAAUGAUUUUGGGCCCUUCCUCUACUGCAUCUCAAGUCCUGUUACUGAGUAUGCUAUGUUUAGAAUGCUAUGACUUAGCAAAACAAAGAAAAAAUCCAUCCUUU
Molecule: long non-coding RNA, 1569 nt
Organism: Vidua macroura (Pin-tailed whydah)
Lineage: Eukaryota; Metazoa; Chordata; Aves; Passeriformes; Viduidae
Exons: 3
Source: RefSeq, a predicted model, not a curated record